CGGAUGUAGCCAAGUGGAUCAAGGCAGUGGAU
This 32-nucleotide transfer RNA is filed under the name Kunzea pulchella. Its description in RNAcentral is "partial tRNA-His". The record is from RNAcentral. Lineage: Eukaryota; Viridiplantae; Streptophyta; Magnoliopsida; Myrtales; Myrtaceae. RNAcentral also lists the same sequence under 10 other names.